GAUGAACGCUGGCGGCGUGCUUAACACAUGCCAGUCGAACGGAAAGGCUCCUGCUUGCAGGGGUACUCGAGUGGCGAACGGGUGAGUAACACGUGGGUGAUCUGCCCUGCACUUCGGGAUAAGCCUGGGAAACUGGGUCUAAUACCGGAUAGGACGAUGGUUUGGAUGCCAUUGUGGAAAGUUUUUCGGUGUGGGAUGAGCUCGCGGCCUAUCAGCUUGUUGGUGGGGUAAUGGCCUACCAAGGCGUCGACGGGUAGCCGGCCUGAGAGGGUGUACGGCCACAUUGGGACUGAGAUACGGCCCAGACUCCUACGGGAGGCAGCAGUGGGGAAUAUUGCACAAUGGGCGGAAGCCUGAUGCAGCGACGCCGCGUGGGGGAUGACGGCCUUCGGGUUGUAAACUCCUUUCGCUAGGGACGAAGCGCAAGUGACGGUACCUGGAGAAGAAGUACCGGCUAACUACGUG
This 465-nucleotide ribosomal RNA is filed under the name uncultured bacterium. RNAcentral describes it as "partial 16S ribosomal RNA". It matches the Rfam family "Bacterial small subunit ribosomal RNA", at positions 28 to 507 of the family's 1533-position model. The record is from RNAcentral.